Molecule: transfer RNA, 72 nt
Filed under: bacterium
Lineage: Bacteria
Also listed under: 2 other names
Description: tRNA-Thr
Rfam family: tRNA
About the family: Transfer RNA (tRNA) molecules are approximately 80 nucleotides in length. Their secondary structure includes four short double-helical elements and three loops (D, anti-codon, and T loops).
Source: RNAcentral
GCCGGUAUAGCUCAACGGUAGAGCAACGGUUUUGUAAACCGUAGGUUGCGGGUUCGAAUCCCAUUACCGGCU